GCCGGGUGUAGUGGCGGGAACCUGUAAUCCCAGCUACUCAGGAGGCUGAGGCAGAGAAUUGCUUGAAUCCAGGAGAUGGAGGUUGCAGUGAGCGGAGAUCAUGCCACUGCACUCCAGCCUGGAUGACAGAGCAAGACUCUGCCUCAA
Molecule: unclassified non-coding RNA, 147 nt
Organism: Callithrix jacchus (white-tufted-ear marmoset)
Lineage: Eukaryota; Metazoa; Chordata; Mammalia; Primates; Cebidae
Rfam family: Metazoan signal recognition particle RNA
About the family: The signal recognition particle (SRP) is a universally conserved ribonucleoprotein. It is involved in the co-translational targeting of proteins to membranes. The eukaryotic SRP consists of a 300-nucleotide 7S RNA and six proteins: SRPs 72, 68, 54, 19, 14, and 9.
Source: Ensembl